Molecule: ribosomal RNA, 497 nt
Filed under: uncultured bacterium
Lineage: Bacteria
Description: partial 16S ribosomal RNA
Rfam family: Bacterial small subunit ribosomal RNA
Source: RNAcentral
GAUGAACGCUGGCGGCGUGCCUAAUACAUGCAAGUCGAGCGAACGGACGAGAAGCUUGCUUCUCUGAUGUUAGCGGCGGACGGGUGAGUAACACGUGGAUAACAUACCUAUAAGACUGGGAUAACUUCGGGAAACCGGAGCUAAUACCGGAUAAUAUUUUGAACCGCAUGGUUCAAAAGUGAAAGACGGUUUUGCUGUCACUUAUAGAUGGAUCCGCGCUGCAUUAGCUAGUUGGUAAGGUAACGGCUUACCAAGGCAACGAUGCAUAGCCGACCUGAGAGGGUGGUCGGCCACACUGGAACUGAGGCACGGUCCAGACUCCUACGGGAGGCAGCAGUAGGGAAGCUUCCGCAAUGGGCGGAAGCCUGACGGAGCAACGCCGCGUGAGUGAUGAAGGUCUUCGGAUCGUAGAACUCUGUUAUUAGGGAAGAACAAAUGUGUAAGUAACUGUGCACAUCUUGACGGUACCUAAUCAGAAAGCCACGGCUAACUACGUG